This 459-nucleotide ribosomal RNA is filed under the name uncultured bacterium. Its description in RNAcentral is "SSU rRNA". It matches the Rfam family "Bacterial small subunit ribosomal RNA", at positions 26 to 518 of the family's 1533-position model. The record is from RNAcentral.
AGAAUCAACGCUGGCGGCGUGCCUAACACAUGCAAGUCGAACGAGAAAGUGGAGCAAUCCAUGAGUAAAGUGGCGCACGGGUGAGUAACACGUGACUAACCUACCCUUGAGUGGGGAAUAACUUCGGGAAACCGAGGCUAAUACCGCAUAACACCUACGGGUCAAAGGAGCAAUUCGCUUAAGGAGGGGGUCGCGGCAGAUUAGUUAGUUGGCAGGGUAAUGGCCUACCAAGACGGUGAUCUGUAUCCGGCCUGAGAGGGCGCACGGACACACUGGAACUGAAACACGGUCCAGACUCCUACGGGAGGCAGCAGUGGGAAUUUUGCGCAAUGGGGGAAACCCUGACGCAGCAACGCCGCGUGGAGGAUGAAGUCCCUUGGGACGUAAACUCCUUUCGAUCGGGACGAUUAUGACGGUACCGGAAGAAGAAGCCCCGGCUAACUUCGUGCCAGCAGCCGC